UCCGGGUGCAGUAGCAUAUACCUGUAGUCCCAGCUACUCGGGAGGCUGAGGUGGGAGGAUCACUUGAGCCCAGGAGUUCUGGGCUGUAGUGCACUAUGCCAGUCGGGUGUCUGCACUAAGUUCAGCAUCAAUAUGGUGACCUCCCGGGAGCGGGGGACCACCAGGUGGCCUAAGGAGGGGUGAACCGGCCCAGGUCAGAAACGGAGCAGGUCAAAACUCCCGUGCUGAUCAGUAGUGGGAUCACGCCUGUGAAUAGCCAUUGCACUCCAGCCUGGGCAACAUAGCGAGACCCGGUCUCU
This 299-nucleotide signal recognition particle RNA is filed under the name Saimiri boliviensis boliviensis (Bolivian squirrel monkey). RNAcentral's name for it is "Metazoan signal recognition particle RNA (ENSSBOG00000003925.1)". It matches the Rfam family "Metazoan signal recognition particle RNA". From Rfam's summary of the family: The signal recognition particle (SRP) is a universally conserved ribonucleoprotein. It is involved in the co-translational targeting of proteins to membranes. The record is from RNAcentral. Lineage: Eukaryota; Metazoa; Chordata; Mammalia; Primates; Cebidae.